UACGUAGGGGGCGAGCGUUGUCCGGAUUUAUUGGGCGUAAAGAGCGUGUAGGCGGCCAGGUAGGUCCGUUGUGAAAACUCGAGGCUCAACCUCGAGACGUCGAUGGAAACCAUCUGGCUAGAGUCCGGAAGAGGAGAGUGGAAUUCCGUGGUGUAGCGGUGAAAUGCGCAGAUAUCAGGAAGAACACCUAUGGCGAAGGCAGCUCUCUGGGACGGUACUGACGCUGAGACGCGAAAGCGUGGGGAGCGAACAGG
This 254-nucleotide ribosomal RNA is filed under the name uncultured bacterium. RNAcentral's name for it is "partial 16S ribosomal RNA". It matches the Rfam family "Bacterial small subunit ribosomal RNA", at positions 524 to 776 of the family's 1533-position model. The record is from RNAcentral.